RNAcentral lists this ribosomal RNA (1375 nucleotides) under Salmonella enterica. RNAcentral describes it as "bacterial LSU rRNA". It matches the Rfam family "Bacterial large subunit ribosomal RNA", at positions 1443 to 2802 of the family's 2925-position model. RNAcentral also lists the same sequence under 1 other name. Lineage: Bacteria; Pseudomonadati; Pseudomonadota; Gammaproteobacteria; Enterobacterales; Enterobacteriaceae. The record is from RNAcentral.
CUUGGUGUUACUGCGAAGGGGGGACGGAGAAGGCUAUGUUGGCCGGGCGACGGUUGUCCCGGUUUAAGCGUGUAGGUGUGUGUUCCAGGUAAAUCCGGUUCACUUUAACACUGAGGCGUGACGACGAGGCACUACGGUGCUGAAGCAACAAAUGCCCUGCUUCCAGGAAAAGCCUCUAAGCAUCAGGUAACAUCAAAUCGUACCCCAAACCGACACAGGUGGUCAGGUAGAGAAUACCAAGGCGCUUGAGAGAACUCGGGUGAAGGAACUAGGCAAAAUGGUGCCGUAACUUCGGGAGAAGGCACGCUGACACGUAGGUGAAGUGAUUUACUCAUGGAGCUGAAGUCAGUCGAAGAUACCAGCUGGCUGCAACUGUUUAUUAAAAACACAGCACUGUGCAAACACGAAAGUGGACGUAUACGGUGUGACGCCUGCCCGGUGCCGGAAGGUUAAUUGAUGGGGUCAGCGCAAGCGAAGCUCCUGAUCGAAGCCCCGGUAAACGGCGGCCGUAACUAUAACGGUCCUAAGGUAGCGAAAUUCCUUGUCGGGUAAGUUCCGACCUGCACGAAUGGCGUAAUGAUGGCCAGGCUGUCUCCACCCGAGACUCAGUGAAAUUGAACUCGCUGUGAAGAUGCAGUGUACCCGCGGCAAGACGGAAAGACCCCGUGAACCUUUACUAUAGCUUGACACUGAACAUUGAGCCUUGAUGUGUAGGAUAGGUGGGAGGCUUUGAAGUGUGGACGCCAGUCUGCAUGGAGCCGACCUUGAAAUACCACCCUUUAAUGUUUGAUGUUCUAACGUGGACCCGUAAUCCGGGUUGCGGACAGUGUCUGGUGGGUAGUUUGACUGGGGCGGUCUCCUCCUAAAGAGUAACGGAGGAGCACGAAGGUUGGCUAAUCCUGGUCGGACAUCAGGAGGUUAGUGCAAUGGCAUAAGCCAGCUUGACUGCGAGCGUGACGGCGCGAGCAGGUGCGAAAGCAGGUCAUAGUGAUCCGGUGGUUCUGAAUGGAAGGGCCAUCGCUCAACGGAUAAAAGGUACUCCGGGGAUAACAGGCUGAUACCGCCCAAGAGUUCAUAUCGACGGCGGUGUUUGGCACCUCGAUGUCGGCUCAUCACAUCCUGGGGCUGAAGUAGGUCCCAAGGGUAUGGCUGUUCGCCAUUUAAAGUGGUACGCGAGCUGGGUUUAGAACGUCGUGAGACAGUUCGGUCCCUAUCUGCCGUGGGCGCUGGAGAACUGAGGGGGGCUGCUCCUAGUACGAGAGGACCGGAGUGGACGCAUCACUGGUGUUCGGGUUGUCAUGCCAAUGGCACUGCCCGGUAGCUAAAUGCGGAAGAGAUAAGUGCUGAAAGCAUCUAAGCACGAAACUUGCCCCGA